Molecule: ribosomal RNA, 253 nt
Filed under: uncultured bacterium
Lineage: Bacteria
Description: partial 16S ribosomal RNA
Rfam family: Bacterial small subunit ribosomal RNA
Source: RNAcentral
GACAGAGGGUGCUAGCGUUGUUCGGAAUUACUGGGCGUAAAGGGCGCGUAGGCGGCCCGUUUAGUCGGGUGUGAAAUCCCGGGGCUCAACCCCGGAAUGGCAUUCGAUACUGGCGGGCUAGAGACCGGAAGAGGUGGGUGGAAUACCCAGUGUAGAGGUGAAAUUCGUAGAUAUUGGGUGGAACACCGGUGGCGAAGGCGGCUCACUGGUCCGGUACUGACGCUGAGGUGCGAAAGCGUGGGGAGCAAACAGG